Molecule: long non-coding RNA, 632 nt
Organism: Numida meleagris (helmeted guineafowl)
Lineage: Eukaryota; Metazoa; Chordata; Aves; Galliformes; Numididae
Exons: 4
Source: RefSeq, a predicted model, not a curated record
GCUCGUCUGAAGCUCAUUAUUAAUACCAGUUUCCACCUGGUCUGGACCAUUAAAGAUCCCUGAAACUGCAGAUUUACUCUUAGCAUCUUCUACCCCCAGUAUCCUGAAUGGGUUAAUAACUAUCUUGCUAAAAUACUGUUGCAUUUCCCCCUGCUCACUAGCAACAGAUUCACUAGAGAUGACUGUUGUACAGAGAGAGGAGCAAAACUGAUGAAAACUCUGAUGCUUGUAUUAUGUACUACUGAGUCAGGCGGAAGUGAUUCCAAGAGUAAAACAUCAAGACACCACAACAAAUGCUGUAUGCAUUCUUAAAAUACAAGAAAUCAACUGGGAAUUAGGGGCCAUAAAAUUAGAAGUAGGUACAGCAUCUCAGGGGUCACGUCUCUCCAUGCUGCCUCUGUAGCGUUAUGACUCUGGAUGGAAGGGCUUCACAUCAGUCUGCACUGUCCCAGUACUGAGGUCCUGAAUGUUCUGUAUUCUUCCAAAUGAAUUAGGGAAAAAAAAAGUUUUCUAUAAAUAUAAAACAGAUCUUAAACUUUAAAGCAGAAUGAAAUUAGUGAUUUAAAGAGUCAGUAAUGAAUUGACUUCUAAAUAAUACAACCUUUAAAGUUAUUUUGAAUGACUUAAGGUAA